CAUGUACUCCCUCCAUCCCAAAAUUCUUGUCUUACAUUUGUCUAGAUAUGAAUGUAUCCAGUCAUGUUUUAGUAUUUAGAUACAUUCAUUUCUAGACAAACUUAAGACAAGAAUUUUGGGAUGGAGGGAGUAGAUA
RNAcentral lists this microRNA precursor (136 nucleotides) under Hordeum vulgare. RNAcentral's name for it is "microRNA MIR1122". It matches the Rfam family "MIR1120/MIR1122 microRNA precursor family". The record is from RNAcentral. Lineage: Eukaryota; Viridiplantae; Streptophyta; Magnoliopsida; Poales; Poaceae.